UACGAAGGGUGCAAACGUUGCUCGGAAUUAUUGGGCGUAAAGCGCACGUAGGCGGCUUAGCAAGUUGGAUGUGAAAGCCCUCGGCUUAACCAAGGAAGUGCAUCCAAAACUGCUGAGCUUGAGUAGUUAAGAGGAUCGCGGAAUUCCCGGUGUAGAGGUGAAAUUCGUAGAUAUUCGCAAGAACACCAGUGGCGAAGGCGGCUCACUGGCCCGGUACUGACGCUGAGGUGCGAAAGCGUGGGGAGCAAACAGG
Molecule: ribosomal RNA, 253 nt
Filed under: uncultured bacterium
Lineage: Bacteria
Description: partial 16S ribosomal RNA
Rfam family: Bacterial small subunit ribosomal RNA
Source: RNAcentral